AUAGCUCAACAGUUAAGAGCACUGGCUCCUCUUCCAGAGAACCCGGGUUCGAUCCCCGGU
This 60-nucleotide transfer RNA is filed under the name Neotoma lepida (desert woodrat). It matches the Rfam family "tRNA", at positions 7 to 64 of the family's 71-position model. From Rfam's summary of the family: Transfer RNA (tRNA) molecules are approximately 80 nucleotides in length. The record is from Rfam by way of RNAcentral. Lineage: Eukaryota; Metazoa; Chordata; Mammalia; Rodentia; Cricetidae.